UGGGGAAUUUUGGACAAUGGGCGCAAGCCUGAUCCAGCCAUGCCGCGUGCGGGAAGAAGGCCUUCGGGUUGUAAACCGCUUUUGUCAGGGAAGAAAUCUUCUGAGUUAAUACCUCGGGAGGAUGACGGUACCUGAAGAAUAAGCACCGGCUAACUACGUGCCAGCAGCCGCGGUAAUACGUAGGGUGCAAGCGUUAAUCGGAAUUACUGGGCGUAAAGCGUGCGUCAGGCGGUUUUGUAAGACAGAGGUGAAAUCCCCGGGCUCAACCUGGGAACUGCCUUUGUGACUGCAAGGCUUGAGUGCGGCAGAGGGGGAUGGAAUUCCGCGUGUAGCAGUGAAAUGCGUAGAUAUGCGGAGGAACACCGAUGGCGAAGGCAAUCCCCUGGGCCUGCACUGACGCUCAUGCACGAAAGCGUGGGGAGCAAACAGGAUUAGAUACCCUGGUAGUCCACGCCCUAAAACGAUGUCAACUGGUUGUUGGGAAGGUUCCUUCUCAGUAACGUAGCUAACGCGUGAAGUUGACCGCCUGGGGAGUACGGCCGCAAGGUUGAAACUUAAAUGAAUUGACGGGGUCAUAGCUGUUUCC
This 586-nucleotide ribosomal RNA is filed under the name uncultured bacterium. Its description in RNAcentral is "partial 16S ribosomal RNA". It matches the Rfam family "Bacterial small subunit ribosomal RNA", at positions 355 to 937 of the family's 1533-position model. The record is from RNAcentral.